RNAcentral lists this ribosomal RNA (253 nucleotides) under uncultured bacterium. RNAcentral's name for it is "partial 16S ribosomal RNA". It matches the Rfam family "Bacterial small subunit ribosomal RNA", at positions 524 to 776 of the family's 1533-position model. The record is from RNAcentral.
UACAGAGGGUGCGAGCGUUAAUCGGAAUUACUGGGCGUAAAGCGUGCGCAGGCGGUGAUGUAAGACAGGUGUGAAAUCCCCGGGCUUAACCUGGGAACUGCAUUUGUGACUGCAUCGCUGGAGUGCGGCAGAGGGGGAUGGAAUUCCGCGUGUAGCAGUGAAAUGCGUAGAGAUGUGGAGGAACACCGAUGGCGAAGGCAGCCCCCUGGGUUAACACUGACGCUCAGGCACAAAAGCGUGGGGAGCAAACAGG